RNAcentral lists this small RNA (153 nucleotides) under Canis lupus dingo (dingo). RNAcentral describes it as "TP53 target 1 conserved region 2 (ENSCAFG00020021514.1)". The record is from RNAcentral. Lineage: Eukaryota; Metazoa; Chordata; Mammalia; Carnivora; Canidae.
GCGCGUGGGAGGAGCACGGCGGGACCCGAGCCUCGGCGCAGCAAGCAGUUAACUGCUGCGCAGCAGGAACUGGGCCUUUCCUCCGGGGUCCGGGAAGUGUCUCCCAGGGGCGCAGCCCAGAAUCGACCUCCUCGAGGAGGACGCCCACGGGAG